UUGAGUCAAAUUAUCAGCUUAUGUAAAAAAUAUUCCAUCCACUUUUUGUGUUAAAGCUUCUGAGAGGAAUUUUUGGUUUAUGUCCAUUUUGGCGCCCCCCUGUGGACAGAGUAGCCUUUGUUUUUUUUUUCUGGUACAUGUAAAAGUUUUGUUUCCCAAACACCUACAAAUCAGAAAUCUCUACAUCCUACCUCUAAUAAGUGUUGUCGUUCGCAAACGAUUCAUUCAAAAGAGCCGAAUCUUUUGAGUGAAUGUACUGAACCGAGUCACUUCCUUGAGUAAGUGAUUCAUUCAUUUCUCACUUCAGUUGAGUUAAAGUGAGAAACAGCAUUGCCAGGCCAACAGCCGACGAAUGAGGGACCACAUGCACAGACGCCUGAAUCAAUUGGUGAACGAAUCACGCAUUGAACUACACUCUCUGGAAUCAUUUUUGUUGCCACCACAACAACUUGCAUACAAUAGGAUAGCAUUUCACAAGUAGUUCAUUAAACCUGUAGCAUCCUAUCAUUGCAGCAGUUUGCGAAGGAAUAGUGCAUGUUCAGUGUGAAUUCUUCCAAAUGUUCAGUGAACGAAUCACUCACUGACCCCAAUUUAGCGAGCAGACUUGAUAAAUAGCAUACCAUAGGACAGUACACUUAAAACAUCAUGACUUAUAAACAAGUUCAUUAUUACAAACCUGUCUGUCAAAGCAACACAGCCAAACACUCUCGUCUCCUGGUCCCAGAAGCUUUAAUCUGAACCACUUCCUGAACUGUUCAACUGUGUAUCAGUUAAGGAGGUCAGAGUCGCAGGGUUCUCCCGCUAAAUGAUUUGGUGAAUGAAUCUUUUGAACGAAUCUGUUAAGUGAACUGAUUCUAGUGAUUCAGUACAUCUAAAAGAACUGCCGUGCCCAUCACUAACAGACUAAUCCUGACUAUCCUGGUUGGUCAAUUUCUGCUGCCAACUCUGCAUGCCUACGCAUUUUCCUCUCAUGAACUGCCUCCUCUGA
This is a non-coding RNA of Xyrichtys novacula (pearly razorfish), 988 nucleotides long. NCBI's taxonomy places the organism in Eukaryota, Metazoa, Chordata, Actinopteri, Labriformes, Labridae. The record is from the annotation of a GenBank genome assembly.